GACGAACGCUGGCGGCGCGCUUAACACAUGCAAGUCGAACGGAAAGGCCUGCUUUCCCUUGUGGAUUGCGGGUACUCGAGUGGCGAACGGGUGGGUAACACGUGAGUGAUCUGCCCCCAACUUGGGUAUAAGCCUGGGAAACUGGGUCUAAUUCCCGAUAGGACUGCAGGGUGGUGCCUGUGGUGGAAAACGAUUUUCUAGUGGUUGGGGAUGAGCUCGCGGCCUAUCAGCUUGUUGGUGGGGUAAUGGCCUACCAAGGCGGCGACGGGUAGCCGGCCUGAGAGGGUGGACGGCCACAUUGGGACUGAGAUACGGCCCAGACUCCUACGGGAGGCAGCAGUGGGGAAUAUUGCACAAUGGGCGGAAGCCUGAGGCAGCGACGCCGCGUGGGGGAUGACGGCCUUCGGGUUGUAAACUCCUUUCGACCGCGAGGAAGCCACCUGGUUGGAAGGGUGGUGACGGUAGUGGUAGAAGAAGCACCGGCUAACUACGUG
Molecule: ribosomal RNA, 494 nt
Filed under: uncultured bacterium
Lineage: Bacteria
Description: partial 16S ribosomal RNA
Rfam family: Bacterial small subunit ribosomal RNA
Source: RNAcentral